RNAcentral lists this ribosomal RNA (497 nucleotides) under uncultured Veillonella sp. RNAcentral describes it as "bacterial SSU rRNA". It matches the Rfam family "Bacterial small subunit ribosomal RNA", at positions 36 to 507 of the family's 1533-position model. The record is from RNAcentral. Lineage: Bacteria; Bacillati; Bacillota; Negativicutes; Veillonellales; Veillonellaceae.
CUGGCGGCGUGCUUAACACAUGCAAGUCGAACGAAGAGCGAUGGAAGCUUGCUUCUAUCAAUCUAGUGGCGAACGGGUGAGUAACGCGUAAUCAACCUGCCCCUUCAGAGGGGGACGAACAGUUGAACGACUGCUAAUACCGCAUACGAUCCAACCUCGGCAUCAGGAUGGAUGAAAGUGGCCUCAUUUAUAAGCUAUCACUGAAGAGGGGAUUGCGUCUGAUUAGCUAGUUGGAGGGGUAACGGCCCACCAAGGCAAUGAUCAGUAGCCGGUCUGAGAGGAUGAACGGCCACAUUGGGACUGAGACACGGCCCAGACUCCUACGGGAGGCAGCAGUGGGGAAUCUUCCGCAAUGGACGAAAGUCUGACGGAGCAACGCCGCGUGAGUGAUGACGGCCUUCGGGUUGUAAAGCUCUGUUAAUCGAGACGAAAGGUCCUCUUGCGAAUAGUUAGAGGAAUUGACGGUACCGGAAUAGAAAGCCACGGCUAACUACGUG